RNAcentral lists this ribosomal RNA (2246 nucleotides) under human gut metagenome. RNAcentral describes it as "bacterial LSU rRNA". It matches the Rfam family "Bacterial large subunit ribosomal RNA", at positions 187 to 2498 of the family's 2925-position model. The record is from RNAcentral.
GGAGAAUUGAAACAUCUUAGUACCCAGAGGAAAAGAAAAUAAAUAAUGAUUCCCUAAGUAGAGGCGAUUGAAAGGGGAAGAGCCCAGCACCAUCAAGAGUUACAAAAUCUUUUUAUAGUAGAAUUGUAUUGGAAAAGCAAGUCAAAGAAGGUGAAAGCCCUGUAUACGAAAUAAAGAGAUCUCGGUGUGAGAGUAGGGCGGAGCACGUGAAAUUCUGUCUGAAUAUGCGAGGACCAUCUCGUAAGGCUAAAUACUCAUUAGUGACCGAUAGUGAACCAGUACUGUGAAGGAAAGGUGAAAAGAACCCCUGGCGGGGAGUGAAAAGAACCUGAAACCGUGUGCUUACAAACAGUUAGAGCCCAUCAAUGGGUGAUAGCGUGCCUUUUGUAGAAUGAGCCGGCGAGUUACGUUAAUUUGCAAGGUUAAGCUUUUAGGAGUGGAGCCGUAGCGAAAGCAAGUCUUAAUAGGGCGAAUAAGUAGAUUGACGUAUACCCGAAACCGGGUGAUCUAGCCAUGAGCAGGUUGAAGCUUGGGUAAAACCAGGUGGAGGACCGAACCAGGGUCUGUUGAAAAAGACUUGGAUGACUUGUGGCUAGGGGUGAAAUUCCAAUCGAACCCGGAGAUAGCUGGUUCUCCCCGAAAUAGCUUUAGGGCUAGCGUUGUGAGAAGAGUUAUACGAAGGUAGAGCACUGAAUGGGUGAGGGCCGCACCUCGCGGUACCAAUCUCAAUCAAACUCCGAAUGUCGUAUAAUAUGCGCAGCAGUAAGACUAUGGGUGAUAAGGUCCAUGGUCAAAAGGGAAACAGCCCAGACCGCCAGUUAAGGUCCCAAAAUUAUGCUAAGUGGGAAAGGAGGUGGAGUCGCUUAAACAACUAGGAGGUUGGCUCAGAAGCAGCCAUCCUUUAAAGAGUGCGUAAUAGCUCACUAGUCGAGUGAUUCUGCGCCGAAAAUGUAUCGGGGCUAAGCAUAAUACCGAAGCUGCGGGAUUAGAUGAAGAAUCUAAUCGGUAGGGGAGCGUACUAAGUGCGUAGAAGGUUGACCGGAAGGGCAGCUGGAGCGCUUAGCAGUGAGUAUGCCGGUGUGAGUAGCGAUAAGAUGGGUGAGAAUCCCAUCCGUCGAAAGCCUAAGGUUUCCAGGGGUAAGGCUCGUCCUCCCUGGGUAAGUCGGGUCCUAAGGUGAGGCUGAGAAGCGUAGCUGAUGGACAUCAGGUUGAUAUUCCUGAACCACCAUAAAACUGAAGGAAUGACGGAGGAGGCUAAUCAGAGCUGAUUAAUGGAUUUCAGUUUAAGUACAAAGAGGGUUACGUAGGCAAAUCCGCGUAGCAAAACCUUGAAGUAUGACGACGUAAGUCUGGUGAAGCCACACUUCCAAGAAAAGUUUCUAGGUGUAUUUUAUGGUGCCCGUACCGUAAACGGACACACGUAGGCGAGGAGAGAAUCCAAAGACGCGCGAGAUAAUUCUUGUUAAGGAACUCUGCAAAAUUACUCUGUAACUUCGGAAUAAAGAGGGCUCCCGUGAGGGAGACGCAGAAAAUAGGCCCAAGCGACUGUUUAACAAAAACAUAGGUUUCUGCUAAAGCGUAAGCUGAUGUAUAGGAGCUGACGCCUGCCCAGUGCUGGAAGGUUAAGAGGAGAAGUUAGUCGCAAGGCGAAGCUUUGAAUUGAAGCCCCAGUAAACGGCGGCCGUAACUAUAACGGUCCUAAGGUAGCGAAAUUCCUUGUCAGGUAAGUUCUGACCCGCACGAAAGGCGUAACGAUUUGGGCGCUGUCUCAACAAGAAACUCGGUGAAAUCAUAGUACCUGUGAAGAUGCAGGUUACCCGCGAUCAGACGGAAAGACCCCAUGGAGCUUCACUGCAACUUAAUAUUGAUAUUGGGUGUGUGAUGUACAGGAUAGGUGGGAGACAAAGAAGCGAGUACGCUAGUAUUCGUGGAGUCAACCUUGGGAUACCACCCCUCGCACAUUUAGUAUCUAACUAGUUUCCAUAAGCUGGGAAUAGAACAGUGUUAGGUGGGCAGUUUGACUGGGGCGGUCGCCUCCCAAAGAGUAACGGAGGCGCCCAAAGGUUCCCUCAGAAUGGUUGGAAAUCAUUCAUAGAGUGUAAAGGCAGAAGGGAGCUUGACUGCGAGACGGACAGGUCGAGCAGGAACGAAAGUUGGGCUUAGUGAACCGGCUGUGCUGAAUGGAAAGGCAGUCGAUCAACGGACAAAAGCUACCCUGGGGAUAACAGGCUGAUCUCCCCCAAGAG